RNAcentral lists this unclassified non-coding RNA (324 nucleotides) under soil metagenome. RNAcentral's name for it is "partial contains 5.8S ribosomal RNA, internal transcribed spacer 2, and large subunit ribosomal RNA". The stretch from base 1 to 120 matches the Rfam family "5.8S ribosomal RNA", at positions 35 to 154 of the family's 154-position model. The record is from RNAcentral.
GAUGAAGAACGCAGUGAAAUGCGAUAAGUAAUGCGAAUUGCAGAAUUCAGUGAGUCAUCGAAUCUUUGAACGCACAUUGCGCCCUGUGGUAUUCCGCAGGGCAUGCCUGUUCGAGCGUCAUUUCAACCCUCAAGCCCCGCUUGGUGUUGGGCCCCGCCCGCCGUGGCCGGCCCUAAAGACAGUGGCGGCGCCGCCUGGCCCUCAGCGUAGUACAGCUCUCGCUCCAGGGUCCGGCGGCCGCCUGCCAGAACCCCCCCAACUCUGUGGUUGACCUCGGAUCAGGUAGGGAUACCCGCUGAACUUAAGCAUAUCAAAAGCGGAGGA